This 468-nucleotide ribosomal RNA is filed under the name uncultured bacterium. RNAcentral's name for it is "partial 16S ribosomal RNA". It matches the Rfam family "Bacterial small subunit ribosomal RNA", at positions 28 to 507 of the family's 1533-position model. The record is from RNAcentral.
GACGAACGCUGGCGGCGUGCUUAACACAUGCAAGUCGAACGGAAAGGCCCGGCUUUUGUGGGGUGCUCAAGUGGCGAACGGGUGAGUAACACGUGAGUAACCUGCCCUUGACUUUGGGAUAACUUCAGGAAACUGGGGCUCAUACCGGAUAGGAGCUCCUGCUGCAUGGUGUUGGUUGGAAAGUUUCGGCGUUUUGGGAUGGACUCGCGGCUUAUCAGCUUGUUGGUGGGGUAGUGGCUUACCAAGGCUUUGACGGGUAGCCGGCCUGAGAGGGUGACCGGCCACAUUGGGACUGAGAUACGGCCCAGACUCCUACGGGAGGCAGCAGUGGGGAAUAUUGCACAAUGGGCGGAAGCCUGAUGCAGCAACGUCGCGUGCGGGAUGACGGCCUUCGGGUUGUAAACCGCUUUCGCCUGUGACGAAGCGUGAGUGACGGUAAUGGGUAAAGAAGCACCGGCUAACUACGUG